UACCAGCUCUUCGAGUGGUGUGGAUGUUUAUUGGGCCUAAAGCAUCCGUAGCUGGCUGGGCAAGUCCCCUGUUAAAUCCACCGAUUUAAUCGUUGGAGUGCGGGGGAUACUGUUCGGCUAGGGGACGGGAGAGGCAGACGGUAUUUUCGGGGUAGGGGUGAAAUCCUAUAAUCCCGGGAAGACCACCAGUGGCGAAGGCUGUCUGCUAGAACGCGCCCGACGGUGAGGGAUGAAAGCUGGGGGGAGCGAACCGGAUUAGAUACCCGGGUAGUCCCAGCUGUAAACGAUGCAGGCUAGGUGUUUGGGCGGCCACGUGCCGCUCUAGUGUCGCAGGGAAGCCGUUAAGCCUGCCGCCUGGGGAGUACGGCCGCAAGGCUGAAACUUAAAGGAAUUGGCGGGGGAGCACCACAAGGGGUGAAGCUUGCGGUUU
Molecule: ribosomal RNA, 430 nt
Filed under: uncultured archaeon
Lineage: Archaea
Description: bacterial SSU rRNA
Rfam family: Archaeal small subunit ribosomal RNA
Source: RNAcentral